RNAcentral lists this ribosomal RNA (1914 nucleotides) under marine metagenome. RNAcentral describes it as "bacterial LSU rRNA". It matches the Rfam family "Bacterial large subunit ribosomal RNA", at positions 17 to 1976 of the family's 2925-position model. The record is from RNAcentral.
GCAUACGACGGAUGCCUUGGCAGCUGAAGGCGAUGAAGGACGCGAAAGCCUGCGAUAAGCUUCGGGGAGCUGGCAAUUAAGCUUCGAUCCGGAGAUUUCCGAAUGGGGAAACCCACUUGAGAUAACUCAAGUAUCUUUAUCUGAAUUCAUAGGAUAAAUGAAGCGAACGCGGGGAACUGAAACAUCUAAGUACCUGUAGGAAAAGAAAUCAACCGAGAUUCUGUUAGUAGCGGCGAGCGAAAGCGGAACAGCCCUUAAGCUUUGAUGAAGAAAGAAGAAAGAGUUGGGAAGCUCUACCAUAGAAGGUGAUAGUCCUGUAUUUGAAUUCUUCUUCAAAGUGAAAUCGAGUAGGUCGGGACACGUGAAAUCUUGACUGAACAUGGGGGGACCAUCCUCCAAGGCUAAAUACUCUCAGCUGACCGAUAGUGAACCAGUACCGUGAGGGAAAGGCGAAAAGAACCCCGGCGAGGGGAGUGAAAUAGAACCUGAAAUCUUGUGCUUACAAGCAGUCGGAGCAGACUUGUUCUGUGACGGCGUACCUUUUGUAUAAUGGGUCAACGACUUAAUUUCAGUAGCAAGCUUAACCAAUUAGGGUAGGCGUAGGGAAACCGAGUCUUAAUAGGGCGUUCAGUUGCUGGAAUUAGACCCGAAACCGGGUGAUCUAUCCAUGGCCAGUGUGAAGGUCGAGUAACAUCGACUGGAGGCGCGAACCCACUUAUGUUGAAAAAUGAGGGGAUGAGCUGUGGAUAGGAGUGAAAGGCUAAUCAAACCCGGAGAUAGCUGGUUCUCUUCGAAAACUAUUUAGGUAGUGCCUCAUGUAUUACCAUUGGGGGUAGAGCACUGUUUCGGCUAGGGGGUCAUCCCGACUUACCAAACCGAUGCAAACUCCGAAUACCUAUGAGUAUGAGCACGGGAGACAGACUGCGGGUGCUAACGUCCGUAGUCGAGAGGGAAACAACCCAGACUGUCAGCUAAGGUCCCUAAUUAUGAUUAAGUGGGAAACAAUGUGGGAAGGCACAAACAGCUAGGAGGUUGGCUUAGAAGCAGCCACCCUUUAAAGAAAGCGUAAUAGCUCACUAGUCGAGUCGGCCUGCGUGGAAGAUAUAACGGGGCUAAAUCAUAAACCGAAGCUACAGAUCUUGUUUCAAGAUGGUAGGAGAGCGUUCUGUAAGCCACUGAAGGUAAGCUGAGAGGCGAACUGGAGGUAUCAGAAGUGCGAAUGUUGACAUGAGUAACGAUCAAAGAGGUGAAAAACCUCUUCGCCGAAAAACCAAGGGUUCCUGUCCAACGCUAAUCGAGGCAGGGUGAGUCGGCCCCUAAGGCGAGGGCGAAAGCCGUAGUCGAUGGGAAACAGGUUAAUAUUCCUGUACUUUUUACAACUGCGAUGGGGUGACGGAGAAGGUUAGGCUAGCACGGCGACGGUUGUCCGUGUUUAAGGUUGUAGGCUGGUGUUUUAGGUAAAUCCGGAACACUAAGGCCGAGAACUGAUGACGACCACUCAUGUAGUGGGAAGUAGUUGAUACCAUGCUUCCAGGAAAAACCUCUAAGCUUAAAUUACAAGGAACCGUACCCGAAACCGACACAGGUGGUUAGGUAGAGAAUACCAAGGUGUUUGAGAGAACUUGGGUGAAGGAACUAGGCAAAAUAACACCGUAACUUCGGGAGAAGGUGUGCCGUGUUGUGUGAUGAGAUUUACUCUCUAAGCAUGGCAUGGUCGAAGAUACCAGGUGGCUGCGACUGUUUAUUAAAAACAUAGCACUCUGCAAACUCGUAAGAGGACGUAUAGGGUGUGACGCCUGCCCGGUGCCGGAAGGUUAAUUGAUGGGGUUAGCUUCGGCGAAGCUCUUGAUCGAAGCCCCGGUAAACGGCGGCCGUAACUAUAACGGUCCUAAGGUAGCGAAAUUCCUUGUCGGG